AAAAAUCAAUUCCGAAAAGAAAAGAAAAGAAAAGAGAAAAGAAGAGAAGAAAGAAGCGUAUUAAGAUUUGUUGGUGUUGCUACUGCUGCUGUUUUACGGUUUACAGUUGGUGUUGU
RNAcentral lists this non-coding RNA (116 nucleotides) under Fragilariopsis kerguelensis. The record is from RNAcentral. Lineage: Eukaryota; Bacillariophyta; Bacillariophyceae; Bacillariales; Bacillariaceae.